AACGUAGGAGACAAACGUUAUCCGGAGUUACUGGGCGUAAAGGGCGUGUAGGCGGUAUGUUAAGUCUGGCGUGAAAGCUCUCGGCUAAACCGGGAGAGGUCGUUGGAUACUGGCAAACUAGAGGAUGGUAGAGGCGUGUGGAAUUCCUGGUGUAGCGGUGGAAUGCGCAGAUAUCAGGAGGAACACCGAUGGCGAAGGCAGGUCACUGGGCCGCAACUGACGCUGAGGAGCGAAAGCAUGGGGAGCGAACAGG
Molecule: ribosomal RNA, 253 nt
Filed under: uncultured bacterium
Lineage: Bacteria
Description: partial 16S ribosomal RNA
Rfam family: Bacterial small subunit ribosomal RNA
Source: RNAcentral